RNAcentral lists this ribosomal RNA (499 nucleotides) under uncultured bacterium. RNAcentral describes it as "partial 16S ribosomal RNA". It matches the Rfam family "Bacterial small subunit ribosomal RNA", at positions 28 to 507 of the family's 1533-position model. The record is from RNAcentral.
GACGAACGCUGGCGGCGUGCCUAAUACAUGCAAGUCGAGCGAAGUUUUUCUGGUGCUUGCACCGGAAAAACUUAGCGGCGAACGGGUGAGUAACACGUAAAGAACCUGCCUCAUAGACUGGGACAACUAUUGGAAACGAUAGCUAAUACCGGAUAACAGCAUUAACUGCAUGGUUGAUGUUUAAAAGUUGGUUUUGCUAACACUAUGAGAUGGCUUUGCGGUGCAUUAGCUAGUUGGUGGGGUAAAGGCCUACCAAGGCGACAAUGCAUAGCCGACCUGAGAGGGUGAUCGGCCACACUGGGACUGAGACACGGCCCAGACUCCUACGGGAGGCAGCAGUAGGGAAUCUUCCGCAAUGGGCGAAAGCCUGACGGAGCAACGCCGCGUGAGUGAAGAAGGAUUUCGGUUCGUAAAGCUCUGUUGUUAGGGAAGAAUGGUUGUGUAGUAACGAUACACAGUAGAGACGGUACCUAACCAGAAAGCCACGGCUAACUACGUG